GAAAGAUUCAUCGGAAGAGGAUGGGCAUGCGGCGCAUUAGCUAGACGGCGGGGUAACGGCCCACCGUGGCGACGAUGCGUAGGGGUUCUGAGAGGAAGGUCCCCCACACUGGUACUGAGACACGGACCAGACUCCUACGGGAGGCAGCAGUGAGGAAUAUUGGUCAAUGGGAGAGAUCCUGAACCAGCCAAGCCGCGUGAGGGAAGACGGCCCUAUGGGUUGUAAACCUCUUUUGUCGAAGAACAAAACCCGGGACGUGUCCCGGACUGCGUGUAUCCGAAGAAAAAGCAUCGGCUAACUCCGUGCCAGCAGCCGCGGUAAUACGGAGGAUGCGAGCGUUAUCCGGAUUUAUUGGGUUUAAAGGGUGCGUAGGCGGUCCGUUAAGUCAGCGGUAAAAUUGCGGGGCUCAACCCCGUCGAGCCGUUGAAACUGGCAGACUUGAGUUGGCGAGAAGUACGCGGAAUGCGCGGUGUAGCGGUGAAAUGCAUAGAUAUCGCGCAGAACUCCGAUUGCGAAGGCAGCGUACCGGCGCCAGACUGACGCUGAGGCACGAAAGCGUGGGGAUCGAACAGGAUUAGAUACCCUGGUAGUCCACGCAGUAAACGAUGAAUGCUGGUUGUCCGG
RNAcentral lists this ribosomal RNA (624 nucleotides) under uncultured bacterium. RNAcentral's name for it is "bacterial SSU rRNA". It matches the Rfam family "Bacterial small subunit ribosomal RNA", at positions 202 to 827 of the family's 1533-position model. The record is from RNAcentral.